UUUAGAAGUAAUUUUUAUUUAGAAUUAUUAAUAGUUAAGUUCUUUAAAAUUAAAGAUUUUGGCGGUAUUUUAGUCUUUUCAGAGGAACCUGUUCUAUAAUUGAUAAUCCACGAUAAAUUAAACUUUAUUUAAUUAAUUUGUAUAACGUCGUCAAAGAAUAUUUUAUUAGAAUUUAAUAUUCAAUAUUUAUUAUAAUAAUAAAAAUCAGAUCAUGUUGCAGUUUAUAAUAAAGAAGAAAUGGGUUACAAUAUAAUUUAUAUAAAUGAAUUAUUAAUUGAAAAUUGAUAUGAAAGUGGAUUUGAAAGUAAUUAAAAAUAUUUUUUUUUAAUGAUUAAAGCUCUAAAAUAUGU
Molecule: ribosomal RNA, 350 nt
Filed under: Anidrytus trinitatis
Lineage: Eukaryota; Metazoa; Arthropoda; Insecta; Coleoptera; Endomychidae
Description: partial 12S ribosomal RNA
Source: RNAcentral